GUGGGGAAUAUUGGACAAUGGGCGAAAGCCUGAUCCAGCCAUGCCGCGUGUGUGAAGAAGGUCUUCGGAUUGUAAAGCACUUUAAGUUGGGAGGAAGGGUAGUAACCUAAUACGUUGCUACUUUGACGUUACCGACAGAAUAAGCACCGGCUAACUUCGUGCCAGCAGCCGCGGUAAUACGAAGGGUGCAAGCGUUAAUCGGAAUUACUGGGCGUAAAGCGCGCGUAGGUGGUUCAGUAAGUUGGAAGUGAAAUACCCGGGCUCAACCUGGGAACUGCUUUCAAAAAUGCUGAGCUAGAGUACGGUAGAGGGUGGUGGAAUUUCCUGUGUAGCGGUGAAAUGCGUAGAUAUAGGAAGGAACACCAGUGGCGAAGGCGACCACCUGGACUGAUACUGACACUGAGGUGCGAAAGCGUGGGGAGCAAACAGGAUUAGAAACCCGGGUAGUCC
Molecule: ribosomal RNA, 450 nt
Filed under: uncultured bacterium
Lineage: Bacteria
Description: partial 16S ribosomal RNA
Rfam family: Bacterial small subunit ribosomal RNA
Source: RNAcentral